Molecule: long non-coding RNA, 770 nt
Organism: Oncorhynchus tshawytscha (Chinook salmon)
Lineage: Eukaryota; Metazoa; Chordata; Actinopteri; Salmoniformes; Salmonidae
Source: Ensembl
UACUGUACCACAUAGCUGUACCACAGAGCUGUACCACAUUACUGUACCACAGAGCUGUACCACAUUACUGUACCACAUAGCUGUACCACGGAGCUGUACCACAGAGUAACAUUCUGUCCACCAACUGGUGCCCAGCCCACAUGGGCUUAUAGGACACCAUAUCAAGUAUCAAAACAUUACAUUAAACAAAUGUAAUGCCUUUAACAAUUAAAUGUGUAAUUAGCAAACACAUGUUCAAAUACAUACAGGUACACAUACUGUACAAAUACAUAAAGGUACACAUACUGCUCAAAUACAUACAGGUACACAUACUGCUCAAAUACAUACAGGUACACAUACUGCUCAAAUACAUAAAGGUACACAUACUGCUCAAAUACAUAAAGGUACAUAUACUGUACAAAUACAUACAGGUACACAUACUGUACAAAUACAUAAAGGUACACAUACUGCUCAAAUACAUAAAGGUACACAUACUGUACAAAUACAUAAAGGUACACAUACUGUUCAAAUACAUAAAGGUACACGUACUGCUCAAAUACAUACAGGUACACAUACUGUUCUAUGUAGAUCAUCUAUAUAGCUGCUGUGGGAUCUUGAUUAAAGGCUCAAUACAAUCAAACAGGUCAGGAAACUCUCAGGUGAUUCCAGAUUAGCGGCCAUUUCAAAGGGUGAGCAAUUUCCCCAGUCCCACCCGACCAUCUGCAUACCGCACUGGAACCUUUGAUAUCCCUUGGUUCUUCUAUUCCCUUGGUCCUACCAUCCAACUACAC